Globicephala melas (long-finned pilot whale) is the source of this 359-nucleotide long non-coding RNA. RefSeq lists it as uncharacterized. The record is from RefSeq and is a predicted model, not a curated record. Lineage: Eukaryota; Metazoa; Chordata; Mammalia; Artiodactyla; Delphinidae.
GGGGAACAGACCCAAACCCCCCUCCGUUCUGCUCCCCAGACGGCCAGCUGGCAGCAGGCUCAGCCCAGGUUGGACGACUUGUUUCCGUGAAUAAAGAAUGGUGUGUGGACUCGCAAUCGUCAGUCCUCGGGGAUAGACAGAUUGCCUGGACAAGUUAGUUUGCCUCUCUAAGCCUCAGUUUCCUCAUCUGUAAAAUGGGACUGGACAUAAUACCUAUCCUAUGAGGUUGCUGUAAAAAUCGAAUGACAUAACACAUAUCCUGGAAAAUCUGAGGUGUUUCCCAAGGCCCUCUAAUUUAGCAUGACCCGAUCCUGCCCAGCCUAUAUGCACAGACUGGCUCUUGGCCAAGGACUUGCAGG